RNAcentral lists this ribosomal RNA (253 nucleotides) under uncultured bacterium. RNAcentral describes it as "partial 16S ribosomal RNA". It matches the Rfam family "Bacterial small subunit ribosomal RNA", at positions 524 to 776 of the family's 1533-position model. The record is from RNAcentral.
UACGAGGGGGGCAAGCGUUGUUCGGAAUUAUUGGGCGUAAAGGGCGCGUAGGCGGUUUGACAAGUCUGAUGUGAAAUCUAUGGGCUCAACCCAUAGCCUGCAUUAGAAACUGUCGGGCUCGAGUCCGGAAGAGGAGUGUGGAAUUCCUGGUGUAGCGGUGAAAUGCGCAGAUAUCAGGAGGAACACCAAUGGCGAAGGCAGCACUCUGGGACGUGACUGACGCUGAGACGCGAAAGCGUGGGGAGCAAACAGG